This 379-nucleotide ribosomal RNA is filed under the name uncultured bacterium. RNAcentral describes it as "bacterial SSU rRNA". It matches the Rfam family "Bacterial small subunit ribosomal RNA", at positions 362 to 758 of the family's 1533-position model. The record is from RNAcentral.
UAUUGGACAAUGGGCGAGAGCCUGAUCCAGCAAUGCCGCGUGAGUGAUGAAGGCCUUAGGGUUGUAAAGCUCUUUUACCCGGGAUGAUAAUGACAGUACCGGGAGAAUAAGCUCCGGCUAACUCCGUGCCAGCAGCCGCGGUAAUACGGAGGGAGCUAGCGUUGUUCGGAAUUACUGGGCGUAAAGCGCACGUAGGCGGCUUUGUAAGUUAGAGGUGAAAGCCUGGAGCUCAACUCCAGAAUUGCCUUUGAUACUGCAUCGCUUGAAUCCAGGAGAGGUGAGUGGAAUUCCGAGUGUAGAGGUGAAAUUCGUAGAUAUUCGGAAGAACACCAGCGGCGAAGGCGGCUCACUGGACUGGUAUUGACGCUGAGGUGCGAAA